CUACGCACUCCUACGGGAGGCAGCAGUGGGGAAUAUUGCACAAUGGGCGCAAGCCUGAUGCAGCCAUGCCGCGUGUAUGAAGAAGGACCUUCGGGUUGUAAAGUACUUUCAGCAGUGAGGAAGGUGGAUAUGUUAAUAGCAUAUUCAUUUGACGUUAGCUGCAGAAGAAGCACCGGCUAAACUCCGUGCCAGCAGCCGCGGUAAUACGGAGGGUGCGAGCGUUAAUCGGAAUUACUGGGCGUAAAGCGCAUGCAGGUGGUUUGUUAAGUCAGAUGUGAAAGCCCGGGGCUCAACCUCGGAAUUGCAUUUGAAACUGGCAAACUAGAGUACUGUAGAGGGGGUAGAAUUUCAGGUGUAGCGGUGAAAUGCGUAGAGAUCUGAAGGAAUACCGGUGGCGAAGGCGGCCCCCUGGACAGAUACUGACACUCAGAUGCGAAAGCGUGGGGAGCAAACAGGAUUAGAUACCCUGGUAG
Molecule: ribosomal RNA, 473 nt
Filed under: uncultured bacterium
Lineage: Bacteria
Description: bacterial SSU rRNA
Rfam family: Bacterial small subunit ribosomal RNA
Source: RNAcentral